RNAcentral lists this long non-coding RNA (1331 nucleotides) under Phascolarctos cinereus (koala). RNAcentral's name for it is "lncRNA (ENSPCIG00000032770.1)". The record is from RNAcentral. Lineage: Eukaryota; Metazoa; Chordata; Mammalia; Diprotodontia; Phascolarctidae.
AUAAAACCUCUGCCUAGGAACUGACGAUGUAGCUCAGUCCUGAUCCAGAUUGGUUCUCCAACCUCGGAGGUUGCCCAAUCCUGGAGCACCAAGAGAGCACUUACGUUCUUAUCAUGGACAUUUUAGGGGCAGUUUCUAUGGGCUGGGAGCACCCUGACUGCCAUUCCUCUGGAUCCCUUGUCUUUUCCCUAUCCCUGGGAUGCUGUGUGUGUGGACAAAAGUUCUGAUGAUGACUCCGCUGGUGCUAAAUUCCCUGGUGGCUGCAGGCAGAGAAAGCCCAGGUCAUCAGCUGUUUUUUCUCAGCACCUUCCAUCUUUGGCUCGGUACCUGAAACAACCUCCAAAAUGACCUUCAGGCCCUUAUGACAUUUUUGUAAGCAACAGAGAGAAGAUUCCUCUCCUCAUUGGAUAAUCCUGCUCCUUGCUCACUUACAGACUUCAUGCAGGUUGCCAUGUUAUAUCUCUCAGCCUGCUCAGCCAAUUUGACCUUCUGCACCAGCUCAUUUUUAUCCAUGACUGAAUGUUCUGUGCCCAGAGUGAGCGGCAACUGAAGACAGAUGGACAGGGGAGGGGGCGCUUGAGUGAUCUCUGGGUGCCCACAGUGGCCAAACCUUCAAUUUCUUGAUGCUUGCAGCAGUACAACUGAAUGGGAUGUCCCAGUGAAGACUUCUCAGUGUAAUUAAGGUUUGGGAUAAGACUAUCCUAAAUCUGGUAAUAAGUUCAGGAGGUAGGAUAAGGGUUAAGUAUAAAUUUCUGUAAGUUCUUUUUUUUUAGUGCCAUGUAUCAGUAGUUAAAAUUUGUCUAGUUGUUAAGCCUUAGCCUACCUUUUAAUCUUAUUCAGAUGCACUUUUGCCCCUCCUCCUAAAAGAAUCUGGCUCCCGUUUGUCUACAGGCCCCAGAAAACCCUUAAACUUUCAGAUUCCUUAUCUACUCCCCUUAUCUUCCUUUGAAAGGACCUUACUCAGAUGCCUUCCAGUCCCCUCCAUUAUCUAUUCCCAUUGUCUGUUCAGUAUCUCUCAGAUCUCCCAAUACAUUUGUAAACUAUCUUUCUGUCAUGGUGGCCUGGCUCCACAGUACAAUGUCUAGCUUGACUGCACAUUUUUAAUUGCUUCUUGGACAUUAUCUCAACAAACUGAGAAAUACAGAGAGAUUGUGAGCUGAGUGACGGACAACUAGUCGGAGGGGGAAUUUACCCGUCAGGGUUAUUUAGCCUGGCUUUCUGCUUCUGUGUCUUGUCUCCCCUCAUCAGAGUAUACUGGUGGACGGACACCCAAAUCUCAAGAUUUGAAAUAAUAAUAAUAAUAAUAAUAAUAAUAAUAAUAAUAAUAAUAU